RNAcentral lists this non-coding RNA (45 nucleotides) under Schistosoma mansoni. Lineage: Eukaryota; Metazoa; Platyhelminthes; Trematoda; Strigeidida; Schistosomatidae. The record is from RNAcentral.
AUCCGACUGAUGAGUGCCAAAUAGGACGAAAUGCGCAUCCUGGAU